This 430-nucleotide ribosomal RNA is filed under the name Pseudomonadota bacterium. RNAcentral's name for it is "Proteobacteria bacterium partial 16S ribosomal RNA". It matches the Rfam family "Bacterial small subunit ribosomal RNA", at positions 355 to 776 of the family's 1533-position model. Lineage: Bacteria; Pseudomonadati; Pseudomonadota. The record is from RNAcentral.
UGGGGAAUAUUGGACAAUGGGGGGAACCCUGAUCCAGCCAUGCCGCGUGUGUGAAGAAGGCCUUAUGGUUGUAAAGCACUGUAAGCGAGGAGGAGGGUACUGGUAUUAAUACUACCAGCUACUGGACGUUACUCGCAGAAUAAGCACCGGCUAACUCUGUGCCAGCAGCCGCGGUAAUACAGAGGGUGCGAGCGUUAAUCGGAUUUACCGGGCGUAAAGCGUGCGUAGGCGGCUAAUUGAGUCGGAUGUGAAAUCCCCGAGCUUAACUUGGGAAUUGCAUUCGAUACUGGUUAGCUAGAGUGUGGGAGAGGAUGGUAGAAUUCCAGGUGUAGCGGUGAAAUGCGUAGAGAUCUGGAGGAAUACCGAUGGCGAAGGCAGCCAUCUGGCCUAACACUGACGCUGAGGUACGAAAGCAAGGGGAGCAAACAGG